This 510-nucleotide unclassified non-coding RNA is filed under the name Hevea brasiliensis (rubber tree). Lineage: Eukaryota; Viridiplantae; Streptophyta; Magnoliopsida; Malpighiales; Euphorbiaceae. The record is from RNAcentral.
CUUUGCUUUUAGAAAAAAAAAAAGCAAUGUCAUUAAACAAAUUCUCAGGCAUAGUAAAUUAGUCAGGUACUUUUCAGACAAUAAUAUUGAGACAAUAAAGGCAAUUGAUCCACAAAAUAAGCAAAGAACAUUUGUCUACUACUCAAUAUAUUUGCAUUCCACAUGAAGAUAACAAGGGGAAAUGCAGCCCUCAUACAAACUGAUCAAAUUCUUGUUCCCGCAGCUAAACUGUGUCAAUACUCAUUUGCAAAUCAACCAGUGAGGCGAGGGGGACAACCAUGAUGGGUGAUAGGCUUGGAACAUGCUUGCUAUCUUCGAAGGAGAGACUAGAUGAUACUCAGUGUUAACCUAUUGUCUGGUUACUUAGUAGAGGAACAAGGUUUAGCAAAAUGUUAAUGUCAAAUCCAGUGCUUUCAUGAGCACUUGGCAUGCUUAGCAAUCAAUAAAUGGUUUUCAGGAGAGAUGCUUGAUGGGACAUACUUAACAAGCUGUGUGUCUAGUCCCCGUUCC